RNAcentral lists this ribosomal RNA (644 nucleotides) under uncultured bacterium. Its description in RNAcentral is "bacterial SSU rRNA". It matches the Rfam family "Bacterial small subunit ribosomal RNA", at positions 232 to 872 of the family's 1533-position model. The record is from RNAcentral.
CGCGGCCUAUCAGCUUGUUGGUGGGGUGAUGGCCUACCAAGGCGACGACGGGUAGCCGGCCUGAGAGGGUGUCCGGCCACACUGGGACUGAGAUACGGCCCAGACUCCUACGGGAGGCAGCAGUGGGGAAUAUUGCACAAUGGGCGCAAGCCUGAUGCAGCGACGCCGCGUGGGGGAUGACGGCCUUCGGGUUGUAAACCUCUUUCACCAUCGGCGAAGCCGGGAGCUUUUGUUUCUGGUGACGGUAGGUGGAGAAGAAGCACCGGCCAACUACGUGCCAGCAGCCGCGGUAAUACGUAGGGUGCGAGCGUUGUCCGGAAUUACUGGGCGUAAAGAGCUCGUAGGUGGUUUGUCGCGUUGUCCGUGAAAUUCCCUGGCUUAACUGGGGGCGUGCGGGCGAUACGGGCAGACUGGAGUACUGCAGGGGAGACUGGAAUUCCUGGUGUAGCGGUGGAAUGUGCAGAUAUCAGGAGGAACACCGGUGGCGAAGGCGGGUCUCUGGGCAGUAACUGACGCUGAGGAGCGAAAGCGUGGGGAGCGAACAGGAUUAGAUACCCUGGUAGUCCACGCCGUAAACGGUGGGUACUAGGUGUGGGUUUCCUUCCUUGGGAUCCGUGCCGUAGCUAACGCAUUAAGUACCCCGC